This 99-nucleotide small nucleolar RNA is filed under the name Ipomoea nil (Japanese morning glory). RNAcentral's name for it is "Plant small nucleolar RNA R71". It matches the Rfam family "Plant small nucleolar RNA R71". From Rfam's summary of the family: R71 is a member of the C/D box family of snoRNAs containing the C (UGAUGA) and D (CUGA) box motifs. Multiple nearly identical copies of this snoRNA have been identified in Arabidopsis, and it is thought to function as a 2'-O-ribose methylation guide for 18S ribosomal RNA. The record is from Rfam by way of RNAcentral. Lineage: Eukaryota; Viridiplantae; Streptophyta; Magnoliopsida; Solanales; Convolvulaceae.
AUGCCGUGAUGUGGGCAUUGUCUCUUCAUCUCUUUGAAUCUCUCCCAUGACUCUACUAAAGACUCACCAGCCAACUGUCUGAAAUUCUGAAUUGAUCUC